GCCUCUGUGGCGGAAUUGGUAGACGCGGCAGACUCAAAAUCUGUUUUCUGCAAGGAAGUGCCCGUUCGACUCGGGCCAGAGGCACCA
Molecule: transfer RNA, 87 nt
Filed under: Hyphomicrobiaceae bacterium
Lineage: Bacteria; Pseudomonadati; Pseudomonadota; Alphaproteobacteria; Hyphomicrobiales; Hyphomicrobiaceae
Description: tRNA-Leu
Rfam family: tRNA
About the family: Transfer RNA (tRNA) molecules are approximately 80 nucleotides in length.
Source: RNAcentral